CCUACGGGGUGCAGCAGUAGGGAAUAUUGCUCAAUGGGGGAAACCCUGAAGCAGCAACGCCGCGUGGAGGAUGAAGGUUUUCGGAUUGUAAACUCCUUUUGUUAGAGAAGAUAAUGACGGUACCUAACGACUAAGCACCGGCUAACUCCGUGCCAGCAGCCGCGGUCAUACGGAGGGUGCAAGCGUUACUCGGAAUCACUGGGCGUAAAGAGCGCGUAGGCGGGAUAGCAAGUCAGAUGUGAAAUCCUAUGGCUUAACCAUAGAACUGCAUUUGAAACUGUUAUUCUGGAGUGUGGGAGAGGUAGGUGGAAUUCUUGGUGUAGGGGUAAAAUGCGUAGAGAUCAAGAGGAAUACUCAUUGCGAAGGCGGCCUGCUGGAACAUAACUGACGCUGAUGCGCGAAAGCGUGGGGAGCAAACAGGAUUAGAUACCCUUGUAGUC
RNAcentral lists this ribosomal RNA (440 nucleotides) under uncultured bacterium. Its description in RNAcentral is "partial 16S ribosomal RNA". It matches the Rfam family "Bacterial small subunit ribosomal RNA", at positions 338 to 795 of the family's 1533-position model. The record is from RNAcentral.